Molecule: unclassified non-coding RNA, 297 nt
Filed under: Trechisporales sp.
Lineage: Eukaryota; Fungi; Basidiomycota; Agaricomycetes; Trechisporales
Description: partial contains 5.8S ribosomal RNA, internal transcribed spacer 2, and large subunit ribosomal RNA
Source: RNAcentral
CGCACCUUGCGCCCCCUGGUAUUCCGGAGGGCAUGCCUGUUUGAGUGUCUUGAUAUCAUCAACCCCUCGGGUUCGCGCCCGACGCGGGUUGGAGUUGGGGGCUUGCUGCCGUGAGGCGGCUCCCCUUAAAAUCAUCGGUUUGGCCCGCAUCGUGCGGCUUGCACCUUUGGCGUCGUAUCUCCUUCGCCUUCGAUCGGUCCUGCUCGCUUCCGCGCCUCACCUCGACUUGCCCUUUGGGUGGCGGUCACUUCUUGACAAUCUGGCCUCAAAUCAGGUAGGACUACCCGCUGAACUUAA